UAUAGAUGACAAUUUAGUAUAAACAUCAAAGUAAUUUAAAGGAAUUAUUAAGGAUAACUAGCAAAUUUAUUAAAAAGGAGGUCAUAACCAAAAGCCACAAACUCAUUAAUUAAAAUUAAUAGUAAGCAAAUUGUGGCGAUCCUAAGGGAAACCUUAAAUAUUAAUACUUCCUGAAGCAAAACAUUGUAUUAAGGAAAGGAAAGGAAAUCAACCGAGACUCCGAAAGUAAUGGUGAGUGAAAUCGGAUUAGCCUAAAUAAACAAAAAUAUUUGAAAUAAUAUAAAAUUAAUUAUAAUGAAAGAAGUUGGAAGAUCAUUAAUUAUAAAAUAAUUUUUAUAUAAUAAUUAUUUAAUGUUAAUUAAAUUAAUUACCAAAGAAGGUAUUAAGUCCUGUAAAAUAUAAAUAUUUUAUUUUAAUAAGUACGAUGAGAGAAAACUUGUCGGAAUAUAGGGGAACCAUCCUCUAAGGCUAAGUAUAAUAAAUUUAGCGAUAGUGAAAAGUACUGUAAAGGAAAAGUUGAAAUAGUUCGUUGUAUAACGAAAUGAAAUAGUCUUGAAUUAGUAAUUCUAUAAGCAGUCGAAGUUUUAGAAAAUAAAAUGACGGCGUACCUUUUGCAUAAUGGGUCAGUAAGUUAAUGAUAGUAGCAAGGUUAAUUAGCCUUAGCGAAAGCGACUGAAUUAUUUGUAUAAUAAAAAAAUAUAUUAAUUUAUAUAAAUUUUUUAAAAUAUUUUUACUAUAAAAAUAGAAUAAAUUCCUUAUAUAUUAAAAAUUAAUUAAAAUAUAAGUGAUUUAUUUACAAAGAAUAGUUUUGGGAUAGUUACUAUUAUUAGACCCGAAGCCAGUUGAUCUUUCCAAAACCAGAUUAUAAUGGAUCGAACGGUUGAAUGUUGCAAAAUUCUCCGAAGAGUUUUGGAAAGCGGUGAAAUGCCAAUCUGAACUGGUGAUAGCUGGUUUUCUACGAAACAUAUUUAAGUAUGACAUCUAUUAAGAAAUUUAUGGUGGUACAGCACGGUAAUUCCCAAUUAAUAAUAUAAAUAUUAUUAAUUUAAUAUUUAUAUUAAAAAUUUAGGUUGAGGGGACUUUGAAAAUCUUACCAAUGGAAACGAAACUCGGAAUAACAUAAAUUGAUAAUAGAUAUUCAGACUAUUCAUGAUAAGUUGGAUAGUCAAGACGGAAACAGCCGAGAACAUGGAUCAAGGUCCCAAAUGAUUAUUAAGUGAAAAUAAGGAAGUAAUAGAUUGAAUGCAGCUGUAAAGUGAGCCUGGUAGUCGCUAUCUUUUAAUGACCGUUGUAACAACGUAGCAGCCCUUAGACUAUUGCGCCGAAAAUUUAACGGGUCUUAAAUAAUCAACCGAUAUCCUGUUAAUUAUAAAUAUAAAUAAAUUUUAUAUUUAUAAAUUAGGUAGUAGAACAUUCAGUAUAAUUGAUGAUAAACAGUGUUUCAUUGUUUGUAAAUAACUGAAGAGAUAAUGCUGACAUGAGUAACGUAAAAAGAAGUUAUAAUACUUCUCGCCGAAUACGAAAGGGUUAUAAGGAAAGGUUAAACCACCUUAUGUUAAUGCGGCCUCUAAGGUUCAGAACCAAAGUUUUGACUGAUGAGUAAUAUAUUGAAAAUCUAUAUGGUAAAUUUAUAAUAGAUCAGGAAAAUUAAAUAUAUAAUUUAUUUUAUUUAAAUAAAUUAAUUACUACCGUACCCUAAACCGACACAGGUUCGUAAGUAGAGAAUACUAAGGCGUAGAGCUAAAAGUUGUUAAGGAACUCGGCAAGUUGUUCUCAUAAGUUUGACGAUAAGAGAAACCAUAUAAAAUUAAAUUAGCCAUAAUUUAAUUAAUUAUAAGGUAUAAUAAAAUCGGAGGCCACGACUGUUUACUAAAAACACAAUUCAGAGCAAUAAUUAAUAUAAUAGUAUUCUGGAUGAAAUUUGCCCAAUGCCAUUAAUAUAAGAGAGGUAAUGUUAAAGUUACUAAUCGAAAGUCUGGUUAAUAGCGGUCUUAACUAUGAGGAUCCUAAGGUAGCAAAAUAAAUUGGCCAUUAAAUGUGGUCUAGUAUCAAUAAUGUAACGAUGGUCUCACUGUCUCUACAACUUGCUCAGUGAAAUUGAAUUGCGAGUGCAGAUGCUCGCUGUCUUCAGAGGGACGGGAAGACCCUAUGCAGCUUUACUGUAGUUUGUUAUCACAUUGAUUUAAAUUCAAUUAAUAGUAAUUAGGCAUGUCGAUAGACUUAAUUUGGAAAACCUUAGAAUUAGAAUUAAAUCCUUGUUUACCUUAUAAAUUGAAAUUUAAGGGAGAAAUGACAAAUUGGUAGUUUGACUGGGGCGGUCGUCUUUAAAAAAGUAGCAAAGUACAUCCAAAGAUUUUUUAAUUUAUAAUAUUAUAAUAUUUUUUUAUAAUAUACAGACAAAAAAAACAAAAUAAUUAAUUCUCUAGUAUUUUUAAAUACAAAAAAAGAAUUAAAUAAAAUAAAUAAAUUUUAUUAUUACAAGGUAUAGCUAGAAAUUGAAUGGAGAUCAAUAAACCAGUGAAAGGUUUUGGAGUGUAUAAUGGCGGAAAGCAUACCUAACUGAAAGACUUAGAAGUCGAACAGAUACGUAAGUAGGGCAUAGUGACCCCUCGCUAUAUAAUGGAAUAGACGGGGAUCAAUCGAUAAAAGUUACGCUAGGGAUAACAGGCUGAUAGCCGGCGAGAGUACACAUUGUCCCGGCUGUUUGGCACCUCGAUGUCGACUCAUCCUAUCCUCCGGGUGUAGAAGCUUGGAAGGGUUCGGCUGUUCGCCGAUUAAAAGGGUACGCGAGUUGGGUUUAAUACGACGUGAGUCAGUAUGGUCCCUAUCUUCUGAAGAGAUAAAUAGUAAAAAGGGAAAGACCUUCUAGUACGAAAGGAUCAAUAGGCUGUGUUUCUCUAGUGUACCAAUUGUUGAAUUUAAUUUUAAUAAUUCAAAUUAUUAAUUAAACAGGCAUAGUUGGGUAGCCACAAACAUAUUAGAUAAGCGCUGAAUGUAUAUAAAGCAAGAAACUAACCCCUAGAUACUAUCUUAAAUUUAUUUCUAUUAUUUUUAUUUAAAAUAAUAUUUCUUUUUAAUAUAUUAAUCCAUAAUAUUUUUUAAGAAAUGAGAUAUAAUUUAAUUUUAUAAGAAA
Molecule: ribosomal RNA, 3133 nt
Filed under: Lactarius hatsudake
Lineage: Eukaryota; Fungi; Basidiomycota; Agaricomycetes; Russulales; Russulaceae
Description: LSU rRNA
Rfam family: Bacterial large subunit ribosomal RNA
Source: RNAcentral